Molecule: RNA transcript, 1568 nt
Organism: Cataglyphis hispanica
Lineage: Eukaryota; Metazoa; Arthropoda; Insecta; Hymenoptera; Formicidae
Gene name: DNA-directed RNA polymerase III subunit RPC2-like
Exons: 6
Source: RefSeq, a predicted model, not a curated record
UUUGCCAUGUGGCGCGUAAUAAAAUUAAUAUUUGUGCUUGGCGAUAUUGCCGUUAAACGUCUCCACAGAAAAGAAAAAAUAAGUUAUAUGCGACCACGUGCAUGAUACAUUGUGUAUUGGAAAAAAAAAUAAACUUUUUUAUCGAAAAGUAUUGAUUUUUAACAUUACGUGACUUUUAUAACUGAUAAAAAUGGAACAAACAAAUGAAAUAAGAAACAAAGAAAAGUUAGUGGAAGCUUUUCUGAAAGGCAAAAGUGUGGCAAGACACCAUAUAGAUUCUUAUAAUUAUUUCAUUAAUGAAGAAAUAAAUAAUAUUGUCAAAGCAAAUGAAAAAGUUUUAUAUAAUGAAGAUCCACAUUUUUAUGUAAAACAUUUAAGUAUAAAAGUUGGUUCACCUGAUGAUGGUUCAAAUGAUAAACGAUUAACAACACCACACGAAUGCCAUUUAAGAGAUCUAAAUUAUUCUGCGCCAAUUUCAGUGGAUAUUGAAUAUAUAAGAAAUAAUCAGCGGGAUGCCAAUAAUGUUGUGCAGUUCAAAUUGUGUAUUAACUAAUAAAUCUCAUUAUGAAUUGGCUAAAUUAAACGAAUGCCCUCGUAUGAAUCUGGUAAUUAUUUUAUUAUAAAUGGUCAAGAAAAAGUUAUAUUAAUGCAAGAACAAAUGGUUAAAAAUAGAAUUAUUGUGGAAAAAGAUGGCAAAGAAGUUAUUGCAUCGUGUAACAGUUUUACGCACAACAAAAAGACUAAGACAAGUGUUGUGGGUAAAAAUCACAAAUAUUAUAUAAGAAACAAUAUGUUCCAAGAUGAUAUAAUGAUUACUGUCAUUUUCAAAGCUAUGGAAAUAAUAGCUGAUCUAGAUAUCAUAUAAAUAAUUGGAGCAGAAGAAAAAUAUUUUAGACAGUUGGGAAACUGAUAGAGAUAUUAACUGGCAAUAUGGGAGUUGCGAGUGGAACAUUGCAAGAUGCAACAGCAUUCGAGAGCGCUAAUGUAGUGGAUUCCUGUAAAGAAAAAUUAACAAAACAUGGUUAUAAUUACUUAGGUAAAGAUUUAUUUUAUAGCUGCAUGACUGAACAGCCGAUAGAGAGAUAUUUUUUUUCUGAAAUAGCUUAUUAUCAGAAAUUGAAACAUAUGAUACAAAACAAGAUACAUGCUCGUGCCAGGGGGCCGAAGGUAAUUCUAACACGCCAGCCGACAGAAGGUCGUUCCAAAAACGGUGGUCUACGACUGGGUGAAAUGGAAUGUGAUUGCUUGAUCGGUUAUGGGGCUAGCAUGAUGUUAAUGGAGAGAGUGAUGCAUUUCAAGUUGACAUUUGUAACAAGUGUGAUCUUAUAGGAUAUAAUGGUUGGUGCCAAAGAUGCAGUAGUAGUUCUUCCAUUUCUACGGUCACAAUGCCUUACGCUUAUAAAUUAUUGUUCCAAGAGUUACAAAGCAUGAAUAUAACACCUCGUUUAACAUUAAAGGAUUAUUGCGAUUGAUUGUUUGCUAUCAGACUAUAUACCAGUAACUUCAAGACAAUUUGUCUUAAUGUGCAGAUAAUAAGUUUCCAAAAUUUCACGUUUAUUUAGCUUAUA